CCUGGUGGCUAUGGCGAGGAAAGACCCACCCGAUCCCAUCCCGAACUCGGCCGUGAAAGUCCUCAGCGCCAAUGGUACUGCGUCUCAAGACGUGGGAGAGUAGGUCGCCGCCAGGU
This 116-nucleotide ribosomal RNA is filed under the name Paracoccaceae bacterium. Lineage: Bacteria; Pseudomonadati; Pseudomonadota; Alphaproteobacteria; Rhodobacterales; Paracoccaceae. The record is from RNAcentral.